RNAcentral lists this ribosomal RNA (742 nucleotides) under Rhodococcus erythropolis. RNAcentral describes it as "bacterial SSU rRNA". It matches the Rfam family "Bacterial small subunit ribosomal RNA", at positions 94 to 849 of the family's 1533-position model. Lineage: Bacteria; Bacillati; Actinomycetota; Actinomycetes; Mycobacteriales; Nocardiaceae. The record is from RNAcentral.
AGCGGCGAACGGGUGAGUAACACGUGGGUGAUCUGCCCUGCACUUCGGGAUAAGCCUGGGAAACUGGGUCUAAUACCGGAUAUGACUUCCUGUUGCAUGACGUGGGGUGGAAAGAUUUAUCGGUGCAGGAUGGGCCCGCGGCCUAUCAGCUUGUUGGUGGGGUAAUGGCCUACCAAGGCGACGACGGGUAGCCGACCUGAGAGGGUGACCGGCCACACUGGGACUGAGACACGGCCCAGACUCCUACGGGAGGCAGCAGUGGGGAAUAUUGCACAAUGGGCGAAAGCCUGAUGCAGCGACGCCGCGUGAGGGAUGACGGCCUUCGGGUUGUAAACCUCUUUCAGCAGGGACGAAGCGCAAGUGACGGUACCUGCAGAAGAAGCACCGGCUAACUACGUGCCAGCAGCCGCGGUAAUACGUAGGGUGCAAGCGUUGUCCGGAAUUACUGGGCGUAAAGAGUUCGUAGGCGGUUUGUCGCGUCGUUUGUGAAAACCAGCAGCUCAACUGCUGGCUUGCAGGCGAUACGGGCAGACUUGAGUACUGCAGGGGAGACUGGAAUUCCUGGUGUAGCGGUGAAAUGCGCAGAUAUCAGGAGGAACACCGGUGGCGAAGGCGGGUCUCUGGGCAGUAACUGACGCUGAGGAACGAAAGCGUGGGUAGCGAACAGGAUUAGAUACCCUGGUAGUCCACGCCGUAAACGGUGGGCGCUAGGUGUGGGUUCCUUCCACGGAAUCCGUGCCGU